Molecule: transfer RNA, 64 nt
Filed under: Chalcopteryx rutilans
Lineage: Eukaryota; Metazoa; Arthropoda; Insecta; Odonata; Polythoridae
Description: tRNA-Cys
Source: RNAcentral
GGCUUUAUAGUCAAAUGAAUGAUGUUAGAUUGCAAGUCUAGAGUUGUUGUAUAAACUAAGGCUU